GCCGGGCGUGGUGGUGCGCACCUGUAAUCCCAGCUACUUGGGAGGCUGAGGCAGGAGAAUCGCUUGAACCCAGGAGGCGGAGGUUGCAGUGAGCCGAGAUCAUGUCACUGCACUCCAGCCUGGGCGACAGAGCGAGACUCUGUCUCAA
RNAcentral lists this small RNA (148 nucleotides) under Papio anubis (olive baboon). RNAcentral's name for it is "Metazoan signal recognition particle RNA (ENSPANG00000043789.1)". Lineage: Eukaryota; Metazoa; Chordata; Mammalia; Primates; Cercopithecidae. The record is from Rfam by way of RNAcentral.